AUUUAGUCCUUUAUAAUCCUGAGCAACGAUUAUUUACUCCGUUGUUACAGGUUCGCUUUAGGACAAUAUAAAAUUGUUUUAUUAUCCUAGCACCCAAAUUUAUUAAAAUCCUUUUUGUGGUGCUCGAGAAACGUAGAACAACAUUU
Episyrphus balteatus (marmalade hoverfly) is the source of this 146-nucleotide small nucleolar RNA. RefSeq annotates it as small nucleolar RNA psi28S-1192. The record is from RefSeq and is a predicted model, not a curated record. NCBI's taxonomy places the organism in Eukaryota, Metazoa, Arthropoda, Insecta, Diptera, Syrphidae. The transcript has a single exon.